UUGUAUUUUAUUGCAUUCGCAGAGUCUGGCCCAAUAGGAGCGCUGAAUCCCACUUUAGACUACCAAUCGUCAGUCGACGGAAGUUGCAUCACCACAACAACAACGAGUACCGGGACAGCGAAGCAGCCGGUAAGUCCGCUAUUUUUUAUGGAAACUGGCAUUUCUUUUAUGUUUACGUCUUUUCAAGUGGCUACACCUGAUGAUGGCGACACUAGCAAUUCGUGUUGUAAAUCCAGAUGCCCCUGCACAUCGUCAGCAGGCCGGGUGAGAAGUAUGGUCUUCACCAAACCUCCACAGGAGCUGCUCAGCCGAGUCGCUGCCUUCACUCACGCACAGACGGUAUCCACGCGCCUUCACGUCUGCAGUGCCCGGUGGUGCUUUCCAACCGUGGCUCGUUACAAACGAUGUGACAUAUAUGAAGUCGUAAGUGUAUCGUGUAUUUAAUAUCGUACUAGGCAGAUUUACUGCACUGCGUAUGGCUGUUGUCAGUACAUGUUGCUCAUUGUAAACUUUCUUUAAGUGUGUAACAUUCACAAUGAUGCUGUUGAUGGUAACGUGUAUGAUUCCAGCGUACCUGACAGGCACUUUAGACCUUUUGUACACAGUUGAUUAUGUAAAGCCCCUGGCAUUGCAUUCAUAAUCAAGUUCACUGAUUGACUACCCUGCAGUGCUGUUUUCCUGUAUUCCCGUUUCAUCCACUUUAAUAAAGUGUGCUGUGUUACAGUAA
Pelmatolapia mariae (spotted tilapia) is the source of this 727-nucleotide long non-coding RNA. RefSeq lists it as uncharacterized. Lineage: Eukaryota; Metazoa; Chordata; Actinopteri; Cichliformes; Cichlidae. The record is from RefSeq and is a predicted model, not a curated record. The transcript is spliced from 2 exons.